This is an RNA transcript of Balaenoptera musculus (blue whale), 2252 nucleotides long. It is a transcript of the gene named Rab geranylgeranyltransferase subunit alpha, with no coding region annotated. Lineage: Eukaryota; Metazoa; Chordata; Mammalia; Artiodactyla; Balaenopteridae. The record is from RefSeq and is a predicted model, not a curated record. The transcript has 18 exons.
CCAGCAGUGCUUGGGAGCCGUGGGGCGGGCGGGUAGCGACAGCCUCUGGGCGCGGAGUAGUCCCCAUCACCUAAGUGCUCCAGCUCGGGCCCGGCUCCGGCGGAUCGGGCUGUGGACAGGGCUGCACGUGUGCAAGUCCCAUUCCGGGUUUCACGAGCACCACUUGACCCCUCCCCUGCCCUGAAUCUGAGCCAGCACCAUGCACGGGCGCCUGAAGGUGAAGACAUCGGAAGAGCAAGAGGAAGCCAAAAGGCUAGAGCGGGCACAGAAGCUGAAGCUAUACCAGUCAGCCACCCAGACUGUCUUCCAGAAGCGCCAGGCUGGAGAGCUGGAUGAAUCAGUGCUGGAACUGACAAGCCAGAUUCUGGGAGCCAACCCUGACUUUGCCACCCUCUGGAAUUGUCGCCGAGAGGUGCUCCAGCGGCUGGAGGUCCAGAAGUCCCCCGAGGAGUUGGCCACUCUGGUGAAGGCAGAACUGGGCUUCCUGGAGAGCUGUCUGAGGGUGAACCCCAAGUCUUACGGUACCUGGCACCACCGCUGCUGGCUGCUGGGCCGCCUGCCAGAGCCCAACUGGGCCCGGGAGCUGGAGUUGUGUGCUCGCUUCCUCGAGGUUGAUGAGCGGAACUUUCACUGCUGGGACUACCGGCGGUUUGUGGCUGCACAGGCAGCUGUGCCCCCUGCAGAGGAGUUAGCCUUCACUGACAGCCUCAUCACCCGAAACUUCUCCAACUAUUCCUCCUGGCAUUACCGCUCCUGCCUCUUGCCCCAGCUGCAUCCCCAGCCAGACUCUGGACCCCAGGGGCGCCUCCCUGAGGAUGUGCUGCUCAAAGAGCUGGAGCUGGUGCAGAACGCCUUCUUCACUGACCCCAAUGAUCAGAGUGCCUGGUUCUACCAUCGUUGGCUCCUGGGACGAGCGGAUCCCCAGGAUGCCCUGCGCUGCCUGCACGUGAGCCGGGAUGAGGCCUGUCUGACUGUCUCCUUCUCCCGGCCCCUCCUAGUGGGCUCCAGGACGGAGACCUUGCUGCUCAUGGUGGACGAGUCACCCCUGGCCGUGGCGUGGAGGACCCCAGAUGGCAGGAACCGGCCUAGCCACGUCUGGCUCUGUGACCUGCCCGCCACCUCUCUCAACGACCAGUUGCCCCAACAUACAUUUCGUGUCAUUUGGACAGCAGGCGAUGCCCAGAAGGAGUGUGUGCUCUUGAAAGGCCGCCAAGAGGGCUGGUGCCGGGACUCCGCCACGGAUGAACAGCUCUUUAGGUGUGAGCUGUCGGUGGAGAAGUCCACGGUGCUACAGUCCGAGCUUGAAUCCUGUAAGGAGCUGCAGGAGCUGGAGCCUGAGAAUAAAUGGUGCCUGCUCACCAUCAUCUUGCUGAUGCGGGCGCUGGACCCCCUGCAGUAUGAGAAGGAGACGCUGCAAUACUUCCAGACCCUCAAGGCCGUGGACCCUAUGCGGGCCGCGUACCUGGACGACCUGCGAAGCAAGUUCCUGCUGGAGAACAGCGUGCUCAAGAUGGAGUACGCGGAGGUGCGUGUGCUGCAUCUUGGUCACAAGGAUCUGACGGUGCUCUGCCACCUGGAGCAGCUGCUCUUGAUCACUCACCUCGACCUGUCGCACAAUCGUCUCCGAGCCCUGCCCCCUGCCCUGGCUGCCCUGCGCUGCCUCGAGGUGCUGCAGGCCAAUGACAACACUAUCGAGUCCCUGGACGGUGUCACUAACCUGCCCCGGCUGCAGGAGCUCUUUCUGUGCAACAACCGCCUCCAUCAGCCUUCAGUGCUCCAGCCUCUUGCCUCCUGCCCCAGGCUGGUCCUCCUCAACCUGCAGGGCAACCCCCUGUGCCAAGCAGUGGGCAUCUCGGAGCAUCUGGCCGAGCUGCUGCCUUCAGUUCGCAGCAGCCUCACCUAAGAGACUCUGCCCCCGCCCCCUGCCCUUUAACUUAUUGGAACUGAAUAAACAAUGAAGAGGCCCCCAAAGGCUGCUAAGCCGCCGCCGCCGCCACCAUCAUUACUACCGCUACCUAUCCUGGAAAGGAAAGGGAGAGAGUGAGGGGUCCCAUGGACAGAGCUGGGACAACAGCGGGAUGGAAGGAAGAGACCCCAGGAACAGGGUCCCAGCCUUCCGGAAGAUGUCUGACCUCUUCUUUGCCUUGGGGUUCUCUUGGUGGCCUCCCUGGCAUUUCUCCCAGUGUCAGGGUGAAGUUGGGGCAGGUGCCUGGAGCCGGUUGGUCAGGAUUCCCAGGAAGAAUUCCAGGUUG